UCCUGGCUCAGGAUGAACGCUAGCUACAGGCUUAACACAUGCAAGUCGAGGGGCAGCAUUGGGAUAGCUGCUAUCCAGAUGGCGACCGGCGCACGGGUGAGUAACGCGUAUCCAACCUUCCCCAUAGUAGGGCACAGCCCGGCGAAAGUCGGAUUAAUUCCCUAUGCAGUCCAGAGAGGACAUCUGACCUGGACGAAAGAUUCAUCGCUAUGGGAUGGGGAUGCGUCUGAUUAGGUUGCAGGCGGGUAACGGCCCACCUGGCCGACGAUCAGUAGGGGUUCUGAGAGGAAGGUCCCCCACAUUGGAACUGAGACACGGUCCAAACUCCUACGGGAGGCAGCAGUGAGGAAUAUUGGUCAAUGGACGGAAGUCUGAACCAGCCAAGUAGCGUGCAAGGAAGACGGCCCUAUGGGUUGUAAACUGCUUUUAUCAGGGGAUAAAGUGAGGUAUGUAUACCUUUUUGCAUGUACCUGAUGAAUAAGGACCGGCUAAUUCCGUGCCAGCCGCAGC
Molecule: ribosomal RNA, 510 nt
Filed under: uncultured bacterium
Lineage: Bacteria
Description: bacterial SSU rRNA
Rfam family: Bacterial small subunit ribosomal RNA
Source: RNAcentral